UCCCUGGUUGCCCAGUGGUUAGGACUCUGUGCUUUCACUGCUGUGACCCAGGUUCAAUCCCUGGUUGGGGAA
This 72-nucleotide transfer RNA is filed under the name Ovis aries (sheep). It matches the Rfam family "tRNA". Rfam says of the family: Transfer RNA (tRNA) molecules are approximately 80 nucleotides in length. Lineage: Eukaryota; Metazoa; Chordata; Mammalia; Artiodactyla; Bovidae. The record is from Rfam by way of RNAcentral.